AAGGGGGGACGGAGAAGGCUAUGUUGGCCGGGCGACGGUUGUCCCGGUUUAAGCGUGUAGGUGUGUGUUCCAGGUAAAUCCGGUUCACUUUAACACUGAGGCGUGAUGACGAGGCACUACGGUGCUGAAGCAACAAAUGCCCUGCUUCCAGGAAAAGCCUCUAAGCAUCAGGUAACAUCAAAUCGUACCCCAAACCGACACAGGUGGUCAGGUAGAGAAUACCAAGGCGCUUGAGAGAACUCGGGUGAAGGAACUAGGCAAAAUGGUGCCGUAACUUCGGGAGAAGGCACGCUGACACGUAGGUGAAGUGAUUUACUCAUGGAGCUGAAGUCAGUCGAAGAUACCAGCUGGCUGCAACUGUUUAUUAAAAACACAGCACUGUGCAAACACGAAAGUGGACGUAUACGGUGUGACGCCUGCCCGGUGCCGGAAGGUUAAUUGAUGGGGUCAGCGCAAGCGAAGCUCCUGAUCGAAGCCCCGGUAAACGGCGGCCGUAACUAUAACGGUCCUAAGGUAGCGAAAUUCCUUGUCGGGUAAGUUCCGACCUGCACGAAUGGCGUAAUGAUGGCCAGGCUGUCUCCACCCGAGACUCAGUGAAAUUGAACUCGCUGUGAAGAUGCAGUGUACCCGCGGCAAGACGGAAAGACCCCGUGAACCUUUACUAUAGCUUGACACUGAACAUUGAGCCUUGAUGUGUAGGAUAGGUGGGAGGCUUUGAAGUGUGGACGCCAGUCUGCAUGGAGCCGGCCUUGAAAUACCACCCUUUAAUGUUUGAUGUUCUAACGUGGACCCGUGAUCCGGGUUGCGGACAGUGUCUGGUGGGUAGUUUGACUGGGGCGGUCUCCUCCUAAAGAGUAACGGAGGAGCACGAAGGUUGGCUAAUCCUGGUCGGACAUCAGGAGGUUAGUGCAAUGGCAUAAGCCAGCUUGACUGCGAGCGUGACGGCGCGAGCAGGUGCGAAAGCAGGUCAUAGUGAUCCGGUGGUUCUGAAUGGAAGGGCCAUCGCUCAACGGAUAAAAGGUACUCCGGGGAUAACAGGCUGAUACCGCCCAAGAGUUCAUAUCGACGGCGGUGUUUGGCACCUCGAUGUCGGCUCAUCACAUCCUGGGGCUGAAGUAGGUCCCAAGGGUAUGGCUGUUCGCCAUUUAAAGUGGUACGCGAGCUGGGUUUAGAACGUCGUGAGACAGUUCGGUCCCUAUCUGCCGUGGGCGCUGGAGAACUGAGGGGGGCUGCUCCUAGUACGAGAGGACCGGAGUGGACGCAUCACUGGUGUUCGGGUUGUCAUGCCAAUGGCACUGCCCGGUAGCUAAAUGCGGAAGAGAUAAGUGCUGAAAGCAUCUAAGCACGAAACUUGCCCCGAGAUGAGUUCUCCCUGAGACUUUAGGUCUCCUGAAGGAACGUUGAAGACGACGACGUUGAUAGGCCGGGUGUGUAAGCGCAGCGAUGCGUUGAGCUAACCGGUACUAAUGAACCGUGAGGCUUAACCUUACA
This 1491-nucleotide ribosomal RNA is filed under the name Salmonella enterica. RNAcentral's name for it is "partial 23S ribosomal RNA". It matches the Rfam family "Bacterial large subunit ribosomal RNA", at positions 1464 to 2925 of the family's 2925-position model. The record is from RNAcentral. Lineage: Bacteria; Pseudomonadati; Pseudomonadota; Gammaproteobacteria; Enterobacterales; Enterobacteriaceae.